Molecule: ribosomal RNA, 2087 nt
Filed under: human gut metagenome
Description: bacterial LSU rRNA
Rfam family: Bacterial large subunit ribosomal RNA
Source: RNAcentral
GCAGGUUGAAGCGCGGGUAAGACCGCGUGGAGGACCGAACCCACCUGGGUUGAAAACCGGGGGGAUGACCUGGGGCUAGGGGUGAAAGGCCAAUCAAAUUCCGUGAUAGCUGGUUCUCUCCGAAAUGCAUUUAGGUGCAGCGUCGGUUGAUUGCAUCGCGGGGGUAGAGCUACUGGAUGCUUGCGGGCCCGUGUCGGGUACCAAUAGCAGCCAAACUCCGAAUACCGUGGAUGUGUAUUCCGGCAGUGAGUCGGCGGGGGAUAAGCUCCGUCGUCGAGAGGGAGACAGCCCAGAUCGUCGUCUAAGGUCCCGAAGCGUGUGCUAAGUGGGAAAGGAUGUGGAGUCGCAUAGACAGCCAGGAGGUUGGCUCAGAAGCAGCCAUCCUUGAAAGAGUGCGUAACAGCUCACUGGUCUAGUGGUUCCGCGCCGACAAUGUAGCGGGGCUCAAGCACACCACCGAAGACGCGGCAACAGUUUUUGCUGUUGGGUAGGAGAGCGUCCCGCGUGGGGCGAAGCGGCCGGGGAACCGUGCCGUGGACCGCGCGGGAGUGAGAAUGCAGACAUGAGUAGCGAGAGACGGGUGAGGAUCCCGUCCGCUGGAUGACCAAGGGUUCCGGGGCCACGUUCGUCGUCCCCGGGUGAGUCGGGUCCUAAGGCGAGGCCGACAGGCGUAGUCGAAUGGAUGAACGGGUGGAUAUUCCCGUACCGGCGGCGUACCGUAAGAGCCGAACGGAUGAGUACUAACCUCCGGUCGCGUGGCGUCGUUCCCUUCGGGGUUCGGGGUCCGCGGUCGUUGGGAGCGUAGUCCUGGUAGGCUAGCGCACAGGGGUGACACGGAAUGGGAGCCGGCCGCGGAGGUGGUUUUCCGUGGUCAAGCACGCAGCCCGUCCCAUAGGCAAAUCCGUGGGACGCAUAGGGUGAGGUGUGAUGAUGGGCGUCCUUUGGACGCGAUAUCCGGUGGUCCAGGCCGUCGAGAAAAGCCUCGGCGCGAGGGGCGUCGCCGCCCGUACCCCAAACCGACACUGGUGGUCAGGUAGAGAAUACCAAGGCGAUCGAGCGAAUCCUGGUCAAGGAACUCGGCAAAUCACUCCCGUGCCUUCGGUAUAAGGGAGACCCCCGGGCGUGAAGAGGCUUGCCCUCGGAGCGUUGGGGGGUGGCACAGACCAGGGGGUAGCGACUGUUUACCAAAAACACAGGUGCAUGCGAAGGCGCAAGCCGCUGUAUAUGCACUGACGCCUGCCCGGUGCCGGAAGGUUAAGAGGAUCCGUCAGCCCCUUUUGGGGUGAAGCGGUGAAUUCAAGCCCCGGUAAACGGCGGUGGUAACUAUAACCAUCCUAAGGUAGCGAAAUUCCUUGUCGGGUAAGUUCCGACCUGCACGAAUGGCGUAACGACUUCCCCACUGUCUCGACCAGGAGCUCGGCGAAAUUGCAGUACGAGUAAAGAUGCUCGUUAAGCGCAGAAGGACGAAAAGACCCCGGGACCUUUACUAUACCUUGGUAUUGGCGUUAGGCGCGGAUUGUGUAGCAUAGGCGGGAGGCUUCGAAGCAUGGGCGCCAGCCCGUGUGGAGCCGCAAGGUGAAAUACCGCUCUGUUCUCGUUUGACGUCUAACCUCGAACAGUCAUCCUGUUCAGGGACAGUGCCUGGCGGGUAGUUUAACUGGGGCGGUUGCCUCCCAAAGAGUAACGGAGGCGCUCAAAGGUCCGCUCAGCCCGGUUGGCAAUCGGGUUUCGAGUGUAAUCGCACAAGCGGGCUUGACUGCGAGAACGACGGUUCGGGCAGGGACGAAAGUCGGAGAUAGUGAUCCGGUGCCGGCGCACGGGCGCGGCAUCGCUCAACGGAUAAAAGGUACCCCGGGGAUAACAGGCUGAUCAUUCCCAAGAGUCCAUAUCGACGGGAUGGUUUGGCACCUCGAUGUCGGCUCGUCGCAUCCUGGGGCUGGAGCAGGUCCCAAGGGUUCGGCUGUUCGCCGAUUAAAGCGGCACGCGAGCUGGGUUCAGAACGUCGUGAGACAGUUUGGUCUCUAUCCUCUGCGCUCGUUGGAAUGCUGAGGAGGCCUGCCCAUAGUACGAGAGGACCUGGGUGGACG